This 172-nucleotide unclassified non-coding RNA is filed under the name uncultured Acremonium. Its description in RNAcentral is "sequence contains ITS2". Lineage: Eukaryota; Fungi; Ascomycota. The record is from RNAcentral.
CAACCCUCGAGCCCCCCGUGGCCCGGCGUUGGGGAUCUGCCCAGGCAGUCCCCGAAAACCAGUGGCGGACCCGUUACAGGCCCUUCCCUUGCGUAGUAGCAUUCGCCUCGCAUCGGGAGCCGGCGGGCUUCCAGCCUCUAAACCCCCAUCAAGUCCGCCCCGGCGGCACCAA